This 406-nucleotide ribosomal RNA is filed under the name uncultured bacterium. RNAcentral's name for it is "bacterial SSU rRNA". It matches the Rfam family "Bacterial small subunit ribosomal RNA", at positions 28 to 462 of the family's 1533-position model. The record is from RNAcentral.
GACGAACGCUGGCGGCAUGCCUAACACAUGCAAGUCUAGGGGUAGCAAUACCACUGGCGCACGGGUGAGUAACACGUAGGUUAUCUGCCCCCAUCACAGACAUAACCCCGGGAAACCGGGGCUAAUAUCUGAUGAGGUCGCGAGAUCAAAGCUUCGGCGGAUGGGGAUGAGCCUGCGGCUGAUUAGCUAGUUGGUGAGGUAAUGGCUCACCAAGGCGACGAUCAGUAGCUGGUCUGAGAGGACGAACAGCCACACUGGAACUGAGACACGGUCCAGACUCCUACGGGAGGCAGCAGUGAGGAAUAUUGGUCAAUGGGAGCAAUCCUGAACCAGCAACGCCGCGUGUGGGAUGACAGGGCUUCGGCCUUGUAAACCACUGUCGGACGGGACGAAAGGAGGCCUCGGG